GAUGUUGCUACCAGAGGGAUAAAAACUUCCUUUGCAGAAGUUCUUAUGGUUCAGCUUUUGAAUUUCUGCGUGGGGAGCAAAAGGACCCGGUCAGAUUACUGGACUGUGAUGAGCUCCAUCUGGACCUGAAUGAAAGAAAUGCUAAUCAUCCUGGAUGUGGAACUAGGAGUGUUGUCUUCCUCUCGGGACAGAAUGAAUAUCAUUCAGGAGAAGCAAGCACUAUGUCGGGAGCAGCUUUUUUGAGAAAACCAUGUGUCAAGGAAUGAUGUC
Molecule: long non-coding RNA, 270 nt
Organism: Talpa occidentalis (Iberian mole)
Lineage: Eukaryota; Metazoa; Chordata; Mammalia; Eulipotyphla; Talpidae
Exons: 3
Source: RefSeq, a predicted model, not a curated record